RNAcentral lists this ribosomal RNA (887 nucleotides) under uncultured archaeon. RNAcentral describes it as "bacterial SSU rRNA". It matches the Rfam family "Archaeal small subunit ribosomal RNA", at positions 21 to 903 of the family's 1478-position model. The record is from RNAcentral.
GGUCACUGCUAUCAGAAUCCGAUUAAGCCAUGCGGGGCAAGGGUAGCUUUGCUACCCGCCGCACUGCUCAGUAACACGUAGUCAAUCUGCCCUGAGGACGGGUAUAAGCUCGGGAAACUGAGGGUAAUGCCCGAUAGGUGAAAGGUACUGGAAGGUCCGUUCUCCCAAAAGGUCUCUUCGGAGUUCCGCCUCAGGAUGAGACUGCGCCGGAUUAGGUUGUUGUUGGGGUAAUUGCCCAACAAGCCGAUAAUCCGUACGGGUUGUGAGAGCAAUAGCCCGGAGAUGGACUCUGAGACAUGAGUCCAGGCCCUACGGGGUGCAGCAGGCGCGAAAACUUCGCAAUGCGCGAAAGCGUGACGAGGGGAUUCUGAGUGGCUUCGCACCGCGAAGCCUUUUGCCAAGUGUGAAAAGGCUUGGCGAAUAAGGGGUGGGUAAGACGGUUGCCAGCCGCCGCGGUAAUAACCGCGCCCCAAGUGGUGGCCAUUUUUAUUGGGCCUAAAGCGUUCGUAGCCGGCUUUGAAAGUCCACAGUCAAAGCCUACUGCAAACAGUGGAAUUGCUGUGGAUACUACAGAGCUUGGGACCGGGAGAGGCCAGGGGUACGGUCAGGGUAGGGGUUAAAUCCGUUAAUCCUGGCAGGACCACCUGUGGCGAAGGCGCCUGGCUGGAACGGCUCCGACGGUGAGGGACGAAAGCUAGGGGAGCGAUCGGGAUUAGAUACCCCGGUAGUCCUAGCUGUAAACGAUGCCCACUUGGUGUCAGCUGUCCUACGAGGGCAGUUGGUGCCGAAGCGAAGACGAUAAGUGGGCCGCCUGGGGAGUACGGCCGCAAGGCUGAAACUUAAGGGAAUUGGCGGGGGAGCACUACAAGGGGUGGAGGCUGCUGUUC